GGCAGCCGCCGCGGGAACACCGGCGGCCCGAGUGGUGAUCGUGAUUAUUGGGUCUAAAGGGUCCGUAGCCGGUUUGGUCAGUCCUCCGGGAAAUCUGAUAGCUCAACUAUUAGGCUUUCGGGGGAUACUGCCAGACUUGGAACCGGGAGAGGUAAGAGGUACUACAGGGGUAGGAGUGAAAUCUUGUAAUCCCUGUGGGACCACCUGUGGCGAAGGCGUCUUACCAGAACGGGUUCGACGGUGAGGGACGAAAGCUGGGGGCACGAACCGGAUUAGAUACCCGGGUAGUCCCAGCCGUAAACGAUGCUCGCUAGGUGUCAGGCAUGGCGCGACCGUGUCUGGUGCCGCAGGGAAGCCGUGAAGCGAGCCACCUGGGAAGUACGGCCGCAAGGCUGAAACUUAAAGGAAUUGGCGGGGGAGCACAACAACGGGUGGAAGCCUGCGGUUUAAUUGGACUCAACGCCGGACAACUCACCGGGGGCGACAGCAAUAUGUAGGCCAAGCUGAAGACUUUGCCUGAAUCGCUGAGGGGAGGUGCAUGG
This 542-nucleotide ribosomal RNA is filed under the name uncultured archaeon. RNAcentral describes it as "bacterial SSU rRNA". It matches the Rfam family "Archaeal small subunit ribosomal RNA", at positions 457 to 997 of the family's 1478-position model. The record is from RNAcentral.